UACGUAUGGAGCAAGCGUUAUCCGGAUUUACUGGGUGUAAAGGGAACGUAGGCGGCAGGGCAAGUCUGAUGUGAAAGCCCGGGGCUCAACCCCGGUAGUGCAUUGGAGACUGUUCAGCUCGAGUGUCGGAGGGGUAGGCAGAAUUCCUGGUGUAGCGGUGAAAUGCGUAGAUAUCAGGAGGAACACCGAAGGCGAAGGCGGCUUACUGGACGUGUACUGACGCUGAUGUUCGAAAGCGUGGGGAGCAAACAGG
RNAcentral lists this ribosomal RNA (253 nucleotides) under uncultured bacterium. RNAcentral's name for it is "partial 16S ribosomal RNA". It matches the Rfam family "Bacterial small subunit ribosomal RNA", at positions 524 to 776 of the family's 1533-position model. The record is from RNAcentral.